GGGUUAGUAGGUUGGUCGUGCCUAUGGUAUGCACUGGCUUUGCUGAUUCCUCCUUCUUGAAGAACUGUAAUGCCAUUAAUUUGGUGUUGCAGGGAAACAGGACUGUUACUUUGAAAAAAUUAGAGUGUUUAAAGCAGGCUAACGCUUGAAUAUAUUAGCAUGGAAUAACGAAAUAGGACGUUUGAUCCUAUUUUGUUGGUUUCCAGGAUUGACGUAAUGAUUAAUAGGGAUAGUUGGGC
RNAcentral lists this ribosomal RNA (239 nucleotides) under uncultured Glomeromycotina. RNAcentral describes it as "partial 18S ribosomal RNA". The stretch from base 38 to 239 matches the Rfam family "Eukaryotic small subunit ribosomal RNA", at positions 684 to 887 of the family's 1831-position model. Lineage: Eukaryota; Fungi; Glomeromycota. The record is from RNAcentral.